GCUUAACCUUACAGGAGUUUGGGCUCCUUCAGCAUUUGUAUUCUAUCCAAAUCCUCAUGAGUCACAAAAAUUAAAUAGCUAUAUCCUUCUGGAUGCCAGGAAGGGCCUUACCACAAGCCUUUUGUCAGGGAGAGAGAGAGAAAGAGAGAGCAAGAGCAAGGGGGGAAAAGCCACAGUGGUAGGCAGUCCCACUUUACUUUGAGUACUGUGAGGUCACAAACCACAUGAUUCUGUCUCUCCAGUAAUAGUGCUUGCAAAAAAAAGGAGUUUUAAAGCUUUUGCUUUUUUGGAUUGUGUGAAUGCUUCAUUCGCCUCACAAACAACCACAGAACCACAAGUGCGGUGCAAACUUUCUCCAGGAGGACAGCAAGAAGUCUCUGGUUUUUAAAUGGUUAAUCUCCGCAGGUCACUACCAGCCACCGAGACCAACAGAGUCAUUUAAGGCUGCAAGGAGAAUUUACAACAGAGGGUACAAGUUCUAUCUGAAAAAAAAGGAGGGACUAUGGCAUCAAACAGCCUCUUCAGCACAGUGACACCAUGUCAGCAAAACUUCUUUUGGGGUGAGGAAACUGAAGUCCAGAGGGGUUUCUUGAACUGCCCAAGGACACAUCACUAUUUAGUGAUACAGCUGGGACUAAAACUGAGGUCCCCUGACUCCUGGUCCAGAGUUCUUUCUACUAUCCCACAAGGAACAUACAAAUAAAAGUUGAUCAUAAUUAAC
Molecule: long non-coding RNA, 721 nt
Organism: Pteropus alecto (black flying fox)
Lineage: Eukaryota; Metazoa; Chordata; Mammalia; Chiroptera; Pteropodidae
Exons: 3
Source: RefSeq, a predicted model, not a curated record